RNAcentral lists this ribosomal RNA (635 nucleotides) under uncultured Trichoderma. RNAcentral's name for it is "eukaryotic LSU rRNA". The stretch from base 252 to 405 matches the Rfam family "5.8S ribosomal RNA". The record is from RNAcentral. Lineage: Eukaryota; Fungi; Ascomycota; Sordariomycetes; Hypocreales; Hypocreaceae.
GGAAGUAAAAGUCGUAACAAGGUCUCCGUUGGUGAACCAGCGGAGGGACCAUUACCGAGUUUACAACUCCCAAACCCAAUGUGAACGUUACCAAACUGUUGCCUCGGCGGGAUCUCUGCCCCGGGUGCGUCGCAGCCCCGGACCAAGGCGCCCGCCGGAGGACCAACCAAAACUCUUUUGUAUACCCCCUCGCGGGUUUUUAUAUCUGAGCCAUCUCGGCGCCUCUCGUAGGCGUUUCGAAAAUGAAUCAAAACUUUCAACAAUGGAUCUCUUGGUUCUGGCAUCGAUGAAGAACGCAGCGAAAUGCGAUAAGUAAUGUGAAUUGCAGAAUUCAGUGAAUCAUCGAAUCUUUGAACGCACAUUGCGCCCGCCAGUAUUCUGGCGGGCAUGCCUGUCCGAGCGUCAUUUCAACCCUCGAACCCCUCCGGGGGGUCGGCGUUGGGGAUCGGCCCUUUACGGGGCCGGCCCCGAAAUACAGUGGCGGUCUCGCCGCAGCCUCUCCUGCGCAGUAGUUUGCACACUCGCAUCGGGAGCGCGGCGCGUCCAUUGCCGUAAAACACCCAACUUUCUGAAAUGUUGACCUCGGAUCAGGUAGGAAUACCCGCUGAACUUAAGCAUAUCAAUAAGCGGAGGAA